AGUAGACCGCCUGGGGAGUACGGCCGCAAGGUUAAAACUCAAAUGAAUUGACGGGGGCCCGCACAAGCGGUGGAGCAUGUGGUUUAAUUCGAUGCAACGCGAAGAACCUUACCUGGUCUUGACAUCCACAGAAGAAUCCAGAGAUGGAUUUGUGCCUUCGGGAACUGUGAGACAGGUGCUGCAUGGCUGUCGUCAGCUCGUGUUGUGAAAUGUUGGGUUAAGUCCCGCAACGAGCGCAACCCUUAUCCUUUGUUGCCAGCGGUCCGGCCGGGAACUCAAAGGAGACUGCCAGUGAUAAACUGGAGGAAGGUGGGGAUGACGUCAAGUCAUCAUGGCCCUUACGACCAGGGCUACACACGUGCUACAAUGGCGCAUACAAAGAGAAGCGACCUCGCGAGAGCAAGCGGACCUCAUAAAGUGCGUCGUAGUCCGGAUUGGAGUCUGCAACUCGACUCCAUGAAGUCGGAAUCGCUAGUAAUCGUGGAUCAGAAUGCCACGGUGAAUACGUUCCCGGGCCUUGUACACACCGCCCGUCACACCAUGGGAGUGGGUUGCAAAAGAAGUAGGUAGCUUAACCUUCGGGAGGGCGCUUACCACUUUGUGAUUCAUGACUGGGGUGAAGUCGUAACAAGGUAACCGUAGGGGAACCUGC
RNAcentral lists this ribosomal RNA (652 nucleotides) under Salmonella enterica subsp. enterica serovar Infantis. RNAcentral's name for it is "bacterial SSU rRNA". It matches the Rfam family "Bacterial small subunit ribosomal RNA", at positions 863 to 1515 of the family's 1533-position model. The record is from RNAcentral. Lineage: Bacteria; Pseudomonadati; Pseudomonadota; Gammaproteobacteria; Enterobacterales; Enterobacteriaceae.